Suricata suricatta (meerkat) is the source of this 190-nucleotide long non-coding RNA. RefSeq lists it as uncharacterized. NCBI's taxonomy places the organism in Eukaryota, Metazoa, Chordata, Mammalia, Carnivora, Herpestidae. The transcript has 3 exons. The record is from RefSeq and is a predicted model, not a curated record.
AGCUAUUGACCAAAGAGUAUCCAAGGUGAUUUGGAGGGAGAGAGCUAACCAUAUCGUAGACCACGCCUAUGACUACUGGCAGUGGCUUGAGGAACCACAUGGAACAAUGAGACAAAUCUCCCUGGAAACCAUGCUUUACCUCCAGCUGAAAAGCUCAAGUCAUGGUCGCAUGGUUCAUGAGAUCGAGCCC